AACGAACGCUGGCGGCAUGCCUAACACAUGCAAGUCGAACGAGACCUUCGGGUCUAGUGGCGCACGGGUGCGUAACGCGUGGGAACCUGCCCUUAGGUUCGGAAUAACUCCCCGAAAGGGGUGCUAAUACCGGAUAAAUGUCUUCGGACCAAAGAUUUAUCGCCUUUGGAUGGGCCCGCGUUGGAUUAGCUAGUUGGUAGGGUAAAAGCCUACCAAGGCGACGAUCCAUAGCUGGUCUGAGAGGAUGAUCAGCCACACUGGGACUGAGACACGGCCCAGACUCCUACGGGAGGCAGCAGUGGGGAAUAUUGGACAAUGGGCGAAAGCCUGAUCCAGCAAUGCCGCGUGAGUGAUGAAGGCCUUAGGGUUGUAAAGCUCUUUUACCCGGGAUGAUAAUGACAGUACCGGGAGAAUAAGCUCCGGCUAACUCCGUG
RNAcentral lists this ribosomal RNA (434 nucleotides) under uncultured bacterium. RNAcentral describes it as "partial 16S ribosomal RNA". It matches the Rfam family "Bacterial small subunit ribosomal RNA", at positions 29 to 507 of the family's 1533-position model. The record is from RNAcentral.